CAACAAUUGCGCGCCGAGUGUUUCGGUUAUUUCACGUCGUGAUAAAAUCUUAAUAUAAUAUGAUAUUUAUCCGUAUAUUAUACGUUGAAUCGUUACAAAUGUUUAGAUGUAACGUUAAUGCAAUCGUGUGUUUUGUUAAAAGUCAACAUGAACUCAAAAAUCUUCGAAUUUUUGAGUGUUACUUUUCUGAGGGGAAUCUGACAACGCUUGGAAGUCAACAAAACAAAGGGCGAGAGCUGUCGUAGGAUGCCUUUGAAACGGAUCCGAAUAAAUGUGAAGGAACGGAAACAAGUACAUCUUUGAAAAGUAAUGCUUCUCUGAAACAUCAUAAAGUCAGUCUCUCUGGCAUCAUUAGUGGCUCAGGCGCCCUCUGCCCGUCUCCUGGCUGAUCUGUGUGUUAAUUAUGUAUCUCAGCGUGAUGAGGACCCGGGGUUGCUGCAGCUGUAAUGAAGGCGAGGAUAUCGACACCUUUAUGUGGAAGGUGUGUGUGUGAGUGAGAGAGAGUGAUGAGUCGAUGUGGCUUGUGUGAUACAUUAAAAUGCAACGUGUGACAAAU
Molecule: long non-coding RNA, 556 nt
Filed under: Danio rerio (zebrafish)
Lineage: Eukaryota; Metazoa; Chordata; Actinopteri; Cypriniformes; Danionidae
Description: expressed sequence CO354759 (ENSDARG00000097128.2)
Source: RNAcentral